RNAcentral lists this long non-coding RNA (1876 nucleotides) under Olea europaea subsp. europaea. The record is from RNAcentral. Lineage: Eukaryota; Viridiplantae; Streptophyta; Magnoliopsida; Lamiales; Oleaceae.
CAAAGUUUAGUCUACGCCAUGCCUCCUACAUUUCCCCCACACAAAACCAUCAUUUCUUCUUCUGUUUUUUCUAUUUCUUUUUCUUCUCUGACACGUUCUUGUUUUCCCUCUCUAUUUUCCUUUCCCUUCCCCUUCCCCUCAUGGAAUCGACAAUCGACGACCAAUAAUCCGGUUGCCACCAUGUUGAACGUGCCCAUCUGCCUUCUUCUCCGAUAUGUGGAGCUUCUUCUCAGUUAUUGAGGCAACUAUUUGAAUCGAUUUUGAGAUUAAAUUUUUUCUUUUUUGAAUUUUGAUAAUAAGUAUUUAUUAAUUAGUUUCCUCACUUAGUGAGCAUUUUUAAGUGUAAAUUUGUUAACAUUUUAGCUUUUUGAAGAAAGUAAUUUGGUUAAAUUUUUGUGAUAUUUUUCAGGUCAAAACGGGGUUAACAAUGAAGAAAGUUUCUUGUACGGUGAUCUAUAUGUUUUUUGCAUUCGGUGUGAUUUUCUUAUGUUUUAGUGUGUUUCAGUGUGUACGUAUUUUUUAUUUAUUUUAAUGUAAAGGUUUUUGAAUUUGAAGUAUUUCUAAUGAUUUUUAUGAUCAUCUACAGAUUACAGACGCCAAAUCCUUGAAUCAGGUAUAAUCAUUUUUCUGAAUAAUAGCAAUAAUUUAUGUUCGCUGGCACUGCUGAUGAUAGAUCAUGCUUCUUAUGUGAUUUGAAUGGAAAAACUUGUUUUGUUUUUCAUUUAGCAUGAUACUCAUGUCGAUUACAUCUUGGUUGUUAGGGUAGUCUCAUGUGUAAAUCCACUCUUCUUUGCUCAAUUACAUGGUAUAAUUUUACAACAAUGAAAUAUUUUUUUUAAGAAAUUCAUAAAAACAUCCAUAUAACUUAUUAUUAUUAAAUCAUAUAGUCCAAGAUUAAAUUAAAGAGAGAAAAAAAAAAAAAAAAAAAAAAAAAAAAAACCCGUACAUUUAGGUUGAGCGCUGGUAACUUUGCAUAUUAAUUGCCUAAAAUGAAACCCAAAUUUUGGUUGAAUUCUGAGAGCUUAUUUUCCUGUUUUCUAAUUGGUGAUGUAUUGGUGCAGAUAUUGUUUGUAUUAAAAGAGAAACAAAAUAGAAAUGCCUUGUGUUUAUGGGCAAUAUCCCAAUUCUACCUUUGGGAAGUCCACUACCUAUCCAAGUUCACUCUUCACGGCUCAGUUUCUAGCAGUGCUUCAAAAUAGCGGAAUAAGUACUACUAAUAUCAAGUUCUCAACUCGUAUAAUAGUGUCUAGAGCAGCAUUGAAUUUGAAGGACUUUAAUGUGGAUGUCGAGCUAGGCAAUGACAAGUAAUAGUAGUGGUGCUGGCAUUUUGAAUGGGAAGGCUACCGAAAAGGUCAGAGACUACAGCUAAAGAAUGCUGGUUGUUAAGCGUUCGAGAGGAUAAGAGCGCAAAUAUGAACAUCUUCGUAUCUAUCUUGCUUUGGCAAAUCAUUCUCCAUUUCUGCUAUCAUUAAAAUUUUGUUUGAUUGCAAUUUUACAAUGCAAUAAGUGAAUGAGCAUUUUGCAGUUUGUUCUAAUUUUGUCCAACUAUAUAUUGAUUUUAAGUUUGUUUUAUUCUGUGCUACUGAAUAUUUAGUUGAUGGAUAAUGUUUGGUAGAUUAGUGAUCUAUUCCCAGAAUCUGCGUUAUUAGAUUGAAUAAAAUAUUUUUUUUUUCCAAUUAAUAGGAAAUUUGCAAUGUUGAGAAUUCAGGAGUCCAAUUAAGUCUACUUUAUGUAGUCAUAUAGUCUACAGAUACUCUUAAGGCAUAUCCACUAUGCUGCUGUUAAUAUUUUGAUUAUUGCUUAGAUUAUAAGCCCCACUGAUACUACCACCUAUUGUCUAAUGAUUGACUUUGGGGAGUGAUGGUGCAACUUGAGG